AUUGAACGCUGGCGGCAGGCCUAACACAUGCAAGUCGAGCGGAUGAAGGGAGCUUGCUCCUGGAUUCAGCGGCGGACGGGUGAGUAAUGCCUAGGAAUCUGCCUGUUAGUGGGGAUAACGUCCGGAAACGGGCGCUAAUACCGCAUACGUCCUGAGGGAGAAAGUGGGGGAUCUUCGGAACUCACGCUAUCAGAUGGGCCUAGGUCGGAUUAGCUAGUUGGUGGGGUAAAGGCCUACCAAGGCGACGAUCCGUAACUGGUCUGAGAGGAUGAUCAGUCACACUGGAACUGAGACACGGUCCAGACUCCUACGGGAGGCAGCAGUGGGGAAUAUUGGACAAUGGGCGAAAGCCUGAUCCAGCCAUGCCGCGUGUGUGAAGAAGGUCUUCGGAUUGUAAAGCACUUUAAGUUGGGAGGAAGGGCAGUAAGUUAAUACCUUGCUGUUUUGACGUUACCAACAGAAUAAGCACCGGCUAACUUCGUG
This 483-nucleotide ribosomal RNA is filed under the name uncultured bacterium. RNAcentral describes it as "partial 16S ribosomal RNA". It matches the Rfam family "Bacterial small subunit ribosomal RNA", at positions 30 to 507 of the family's 1533-position model. The record is from RNAcentral.